Molecule: long non-coding RNA, 301 nt
Filed under: Gallus gallus (chicken)
Lineage: Eukaryota; Metazoa; Chordata; Aves; Galliformes; Phasianidae
Source: RNAcentral
AUCAGGUCCGCUCCAAACGGAUAAGUUCGGGUCGCGGCUCUCUGUCCCGCCUGGCUUGUGGAGCUGCUUUGGGAUUCCUUUCUCUCCAGUAUCCCCGUAGAACCCACCUCUGCCUUACAGUGCCGGUUGGCUUCACUAAAACAGAAUCCUUGAGGGUCACGUGUGCUCAAGGAGCCCAUCCCUGAGUAUGGCAGGAUGUCUGGGAUCCAAGACCCUGUCUUUCCCCGGGGAAAGAGCCCCCUGGAUUGCCCAGCUGUUCAAGCGUUUCUGAGAUCAAAGUCCUGCAGUCACGGGUAAUGAA